Molecule: non-coding RNA, 2581 nt
Organism: Pelodiscus sinensis (Chinese soft-shelled turtle)
Lineage: Eukaryota; Metazoa; Chordata; Testudines; Trionychidae
Source: RefSeq, a predicted model, not a curated record
GCCCCCGCGCCCCCUUCUCCCGCUUCCGGGCCGCUCGGAGCCCCGCCCUUUUCCUCUGCUCGCGCGCCCCCUCCUCCCGCUUCCCGCUCGGUUAGUCAGCCCCCCACUUGCUGUCUCUAAGGGAGAGAGGCAGCAAGGCAGGGGGAGCAGGAGCCAGCUUAAAAACCAGCUCCUACCUGCCACCCUGCUCUCAGGGAGCUGGCUGCUGCCAUGUGCUACUGCCUCUGAUCCAGAGGGCACAGGGGAGGCAGAGGUGUAGCAGGAGGCUUGGCUCUUAAUAAAUUUAAGAAGCAGAGGUGCAACAUCUGGGACCUGGGCCAGGACAGCUGAUUCCUGGCUUGUACCCAGUUCCCCUUCCCCCAGCAUUUAAAUGUAUUAAGAGUUGCCAUUUUAAAGGAUGCUCCUUGCUCUGACCAUCUCUGCAGUGUUGGUCCCCACUGCAGUUUUUUUUGGGCAGUUGUUUCUCUGUAGCUCUGGAACUCCAGUUGCCAGUCCUGUGUCAGAGAAGUCCUAUGUCUGGUGUCCCCUACACAUGGCAUGUGAGAACCUUGGGGUGAGCCUGUGCAAGUGGUGACGCCUGGAGGAGAAGCAGUGAUCAUAGCUUGGCUGGGUCAGGGUGUGUCACGUGGCUCCUCGCGGCAGACCAGCUUGGUAUUGGGCACUGUAGCUUUUCCCUGGGGAUCUUCCAUUUGUCCAGCCCCCACCUGUUGCGAUGCGCCGGGACAAGCCUCAGGAGAGGGCAGCCAGCUGGCCAGCUGACCACAUCAAGGUGCUGAUUGCCCUGUGGGCGGAGGCGGCCACCUCACACGACCUGAGCUCGCGCGGCAGAAACAGGGUUGUCUAUGAUAGCAUCUCCCAGCGCCUGGCUGAACUGGGCAUCUACCGCACGGGGGACCAGUGCCGAGAAAAGAUGAAAGGCCUCAAGGUGACGUAUCGCAAGGCCAAAGAGAACAAUGCAGCUGGGAGGCCGCCCAUGCGCUGCCCCUUCUAUGAUGAGAUGGACCAGAUCAUGCAACUCUGUGAGAGCACCCGCUCCAGUCUCCUGGCGGAGAGUGGUGAAGGAUCCAGUGCUGUGGACCGACAGGAGGGCAUGGCUGCUCCAGAGAGCUGGGGGACACCAGCCUUUGAGCCCUGGGAUUCCCAGGCUGCUGCUGCCUUUGAACACUGGGAGUCCCAGGCCUCAGCCUCUGACCAUUGGGGGUCCCAGGCUGCUGCCUCAGAGAGCCAGGGGGCUGAGGAGCUGAGCUACAUGCUCCCGGAUGCACAGGCCCCGCUGGGCGAGGUGCAGGCCGUGCAGGUGAAGGAGGAGGAGGCAUCUGCGGAUGAACUGCCACCUGAGCCUGGCCCUUCCCCAUCUGCAUCGGCAGAGCCCCAAUCGGCCUCCCGGAAGCUGGUCUCAGCGCUGGACCGGCUUGUGCACCUCCGGGCCAGGAAGCGCAAGGCAAGGGAGGAGGGACCGCUGGAAACACCACGGGGCCCCAGCCAGAAGCAUGGACGCAGCCAGCUGGAGUUGAAGAGGGCACGGCGAGGUGGGACCUGGCGGGCAGAGGAGAGGCAGAGCCUGGCCGAGUUCAUCCAGCACGACCGGGAGAUGCGGCGGGAGGACCGGGAGUUCCAGGCCCAGCUCCUGGAGAAGCUUUUCCAGAAGCAGCUGGAGAUGGUGUCAGCCCUGGCCCAGCCUGCCCCACCCGUGCAGGAACCAGAGUUGGUGACACAGGAGAGGGCCAAAGCGGGGCUCCAUCUCCACACUGUGCCGGAGCAGGCGGUGCGGAGGCGGCUGCCCCUGCCGCUGCAGGGGCCCUGGAGCGAUCUGGGAAAGCGCCCCAAGCUGUCCAGUAUUGGACGGCAGAUGAGAUCCUGCGCUGGCUGGUGCCACAGCAGCCACUGAAUGGGCAGCAGCCUUGGGGGGAGCGGUGUCGGGAGGGGCUGCCGGGCCUCUCAGCCCCUCUGGCCUCACGUGGAGAUGGGGAGGUGGGUGAGACAGAACCCAAUCUCUCUUCCUCCAGACAAGUGACCGACACCUGCCAGGGGCCCAGCGGGCCGGGGGAAGCCCGACUCCUCCCCCCACUCACCAGGGAAACCCAACAAGCCCCGGCCAGCCUGGAUGUCAGCGAGGCCGGUGACGGUGCUAAGGCGAGGGGUGCCAUCCUGCGCUGCUACGACACGGAGAUGCAGCGCCAGCGCUUCCGGGGCUUCCGCUACCAGGAGGCCCAGGGGCCCCGGGAGGUUUAUGGCCGCCUGCAGGAACUUUCCCAUCGCUGGCUGCAGCCAGAGACCCGUACCAAGGAGCAGAUGCUGGAGCUGCUGGUUCUUGAGCAGUUCCUGAGCCUCCUGCCUGAGGAAAUGCAGAGCUGGGUGCGGGAGCGUGGCCCGGAGAGCGGCCAGGAGGCCGUGGCCCUGGCUGAGAGUUUCCAGCUUGUCCCCCACAAGCCAGGAUGGCAGCAGCCCCAGGUGCAGGGGCCAGUCCAGGAAGGAGCCCGUGAUGCCGGUGCUGCACAGCGGGCCCUGCUGGUGGAGCAGCAGAGGGCAUGCCAGGGGGCCAGCGUACAGGAGAAUGGCUGGCGCGGCGGCUUGUUGGGUG